AUUGAACGCUGGCGGCAUGCUUUACACAUGCAAGUCGAACGGCAGCGCGGGCUUCGGCCUGGCGGCGAGUGGCGAACGGGUGAGUAAUGCAUCGGAACGUGCCCAGUAGUGGGGGAUAGCCCGGCGAAAGCCGGAUUAAUACCGCAUACGACCUGAGGGUGAAAGCGGGGGACCGAAAGGCCUCGCGCUAUUGGAGCGGCCGAUGUCGGAUUAGCUAGUUGGUGGGGUAAAGGCUUACCAAGGCGACGAUCCGUAGCUGGUCUGAGAGGACGACCAGCCACACUGGGACUGGGACACGGCCCAGACUCCUACGGGAGGCAGCAGUGGGGAAUUUUGGACAAUGGGGGCAACCCUGAUCCAGCCAUGCCGCGUGCGGGAAGAAGGCCUUCGGGUUGUAAACCGCUUUUGUUCGGGAAGAAAUCCUCUGGGCUAAUACCCCGGGGGGAUGACGGUACCGGAAGAAUAAGCACCGGCUAACUACGUG
This 484-nucleotide ribosomal RNA is filed under the name uncultured bacterium. RNAcentral describes it as "partial 16S ribosomal RNA". It matches the Rfam family "Bacterial small subunit ribosomal RNA", at positions 28 to 507 of the family's 1533-position model. The record is from RNAcentral.